RNAcentral lists this ribosomal RNA (800 nucleotides) under Microbacterium sp. Its description in RNAcentral is "bacterial SSU rRNA". It matches the Rfam family "Bacterial small subunit ribosomal RNA", at positions 53 to 864 of the family's 1533-position model. Lineage: Bacteria; Bacillati; Actinomycetota; Actinomycetes; Micrococcales; Microbacteriaceae. The record is from RNAcentral.
ACCAUGCAGUCGAACGGUGAAGCAGAGCUUGCUCUGUGGAUCAGUGGCGAACGGGUGAGUAACACGUGAGCAACCUGCCCCGGACUCUGGGAUAAGCGCUGGAAACGGCGUCUAAUACCGGAUACGAGCUGCGAAGGCAUCUUCAGCAGCUGGAAAGAAUUUCGGUCCGGGAUGGGCUCGCGGCCUAUCAGCUUGUUGGUGAGGUAAUGGCUCACCAAGGCGUCGACGGGUAGCCGGCCUGAGAGGGUGACCGGCCACACUGGGACUGAGACACGGCCCAGACUCCUACGGGAGGCAGCAGUGGGGAAUAUUGCACAAUGGGCGAAAGCCUGAUGCAGCAACGCCGCGUGAGGGACGACGGCCUUCGGGUUGUAAACCUCUUUUAGCAGGGAAGAAGCGAAAGUGACGGUACCUGCAGAAAAAGCGCCGGCUAACUACGUGCCAGCAGCCGCGGUAAUACGUAGGGCGCAAGCGUUAUCCGGAAUCAUUGGGCGUAAAGAGCUCGUAGGCGGUCUGUCGCGUCUGCUGUGAAAACCCGAGGCUCAACCUCGGGCCUGCAGUGGGUACGGGCAGACUAGAGUGCGGUAGGGGAGAUUGGAAUUCCUGGUGUAGCGGUGGAAUGCGCAGAUAUCAGGAGGAACACCGAUGGCGAAGGCAGAUCUCUGGGCCGUAACUGACGCUGAGGAGCGAAAGGGUGGGGAGCAAACAGGCUUAGAUACCCUGGUAGUCCACCCCGUAAACGUUGGGAACUAGUUGUGGGGACCAUUCCACGGUUUCCGUGACGCAGCUAACGCAUUAAG